This 1977-nucleotide long non-coding RNA is filed under the name Olea europaea subsp. europaea. Lineage: Eukaryota; Viridiplantae; Streptophyta; Magnoliopsida; Lamiales; Oleaceae. The record is from RNAcentral.
UCAAUUUUUCCAGGAUGGAUUAUCAUCUAGAUGCAGAGCUGAGACAGAUGCGGGGCAAACUCACGUGGAACAGUAACUUUGAUAGCUUCACCCAGAUCCUGGAGCUGCUUGACAACCAGCAUGUAGAUGCGUUGCGUCAGUCCUUUCUGUGGCUUCUAUACCCUAUGAGAGAGUUGCAGUAUUCGGGUCAGAUGAUCGAUACUCUUCUAUGUCAGUUGUUGAGUCCAAUUGAUGACGACGCCUUCCACUUCGACCUCGGGGGCAAAGUUGCCAGAUUUUCCAUGUUCAACUUUGCCUGCUGACAAAAUUGAAGAUUAUGGGCGAUGAGGCAGCUAGCGACGAGACUCAAAGAAGAAAUAGGCUACAAGACACUAACUUCUAGGGACAAGGAUGGUGGUUCUGCCUCAAUUGAUGGAUGCGAUCAGGAGAUAUAACGAAAUGUUAAACAAAUUGAAGUUAGGCUUGGUCUACAUCAUUGAGAACGUGAUACGGUGUCACCACAAAAAGACCGCAAUCAACAUUUUCCACCUGCAGAUCUUCGAUGACAUAGAUCGCUUCAACAGCUAUCCAUGGAGCCGUCGAUAUUUCAAGAACACCAUCCACAUUUUCACCAAACCGCACUCGAAGCCCAAGGGGCUCGUGCGUAAGUACGACACCUACAGAUUUCUGUUGGCGCUGCAGGUAAAUGAUUAACGCAAUUAAUGUUAAAAUGUUUUUUCUAUUGAAUUUGUAUGUACUAAUUUAUGUGUUGCAAGUUUGGGCGUGUGAGACCAUCCCCAUAUUAGGUACCCGCUUUACGCGGUGAGGAGAGAUAGGAUGUCCUUAGAUGUACCAUUAGUGAGCAUCUUGGGCGGAGGGAUGUCUCACUGGAAAAUAAUUAUUGGCUUUCCUCGACGACCCUCAUGUGAGUAUUAAAAAUUUGUGAUUUAUAUUGUACAUAAUUUAAAAUCUCAUUACAUGAUUUUAUCUUUUUAAAAUGUCAAUAUGUCAGUUUGAAGUAACAACUCAUUUGGAGCCAUCGAUGGAGGAGGAGGCUCACGGUUUUGUGCGUGAAAUAGUGGUUUCGCACACCCAAGACGACCAAAUGUCCGACUCGAUCCUCAAUCGAGACUGGGUAAGUGAAUUAUUGAUUAAUAUUUUGUAUGAGUUAGCAAUUAGUGAAUAAGUUUAUAUGUAAGUUUGUGCAGGACCGCGAGCCAGUUGUUCAGGCAUCACCUCAUCGGUGGCAUCACCUCCUCCCCCUCAGGGUGAUUAUUCUAAUGAUCUGUACAUCGUCUGACUGGAUUUAUGGUGUAGGAGAUCGGCAUGCUGUGUCGAGAGCUGAUAGGAGUUAUAUCAGAGGAGGUCGGCUCGCUACGCUGAGAUAUGAUGGAGCAGGUCGACGAUCUGGGACACCAGUUGGUAGGAAGGGUCGAGGAUAUAGCUGACGAUGUUAGAGUACUGCGUGGGCAUUUAGGUGACCUUCAGGAUGAGGUGAUAGCACUUCGAGGUGAUCUAUCAGGCAGACGAUAGGGUAACGAAGGUGACGACCGGGGGUGAUCGAGAGGAUAGAGAUGAGGGUCACCCACAGUCGUGGUUGGAGGAUGCAUGGGAAUCCUUUCUUCAAUCCAUGGAGGAUAGGAUGGCCCUGAGGGCAGAGAAGAGGGUGGCCCCGUCGAGGAUGGGAGCUACGAUUGAGGAGGUGGUGCCAACGAUGGCGGAUGAAGGGGUCGAGAAGGUAGUGAUGACGGGGGGUGGACCCCUUGAGGAGGGAGCUAUCGUCGAAAAGGUGGUGACGACGGGGAUGGAGGAGGAGGUGAAAGGUGGCGAUCAUUGGGGCGAAGAAGGGGACGAUGCUCGAGGUGGACGAGGGGAGGACGACCACCGUGACUGGGGCGAAAAAUCAUGUUGUUCACGUGCCGGAGCUAAUAGUAGGCAAGAGGUCAAGAGUGCCGUCACAGUACAUUGUCUCUCCCUUCACGGCUAAGACGAUUAAUG